UACGUAGGGGGCAAGCGUUAUCCGGAUUUACUGGGUGUAAAGGGAGCGUAGACGGCAUGGCAAGUCAGAUGUGAAAGCCCGGGGCUCAACCCCGGGACUGCAUUUGAAACUGUCAGGCUGGAGUGCAGGAGAGGUAAGUGGAAUUCCUAGUGUAGCGGUGAAAUGCGUAGAUAUUAGGAGGAACACCAGUGGCGAAGGCGGCUUACUGGACUGUAACUGACGUUGAGGCUCAAAAGCGUGGGGAGCAAACAGG
RNAcentral lists this ribosomal RNA (253 nucleotides) under uncultured bacterium. RNAcentral describes it as "partial 16S ribosomal RNA". It matches the Rfam family "Bacterial small subunit ribosomal RNA", at positions 524 to 776 of the family's 1533-position model. The record is from RNAcentral.